Molecule: transfer RNA, 71 nt
Filed under: Haladaptatus sp. T7
Lineage: Archaea; Methanobacteriati; Methanobacteriota; Halobacteria; Halobacteriales; Haladaptataceae
Description: tRNA-Pro
Source: RNAcentral
GCCCGCGAGGCCCUGCCAGGUCUCGAAUCUGGGACAUGCGGAGAUCGAGGGUUCGGAGCCCUCCCCGGGCA